UAUACAUGCAGUCGAACGAACUUCCGUUAAUUGAUUAUGACGUACUUGUACUGAUUGAGAUUUUAACACGAAGUGAGUGGCGAACGGGUGAGUAACACGUGGGUAACCUGCCCAGAAGUAGGGGAUAACACCUGGAAACAGAUGCUAAUACCGUAUAACAGAGAAAACCGCAUGGUUUUCUUUUAAAAGAUGGCUCUGCUAUCACUUCUGGAUGGACCCGCGGCGUAUUACCUAGUUGGUGAGGUAAAGGCUCCCCAAGGCAGUGAUACUUACCCGACCUGAGAGGGUAAUCGGCCACUUUGGGACUGAAACAACGCCCAAACUCCUUCCGGAGGCAGCAGUAGGGAAUCUUCCACAAUGGACGCCGUCNGUUGGAACACCCCCCCGUGAGUGAAAAAGGGUUUCGGCCCCUAAACCUCUUUUUUUAAAAAAAAACGUGGNUAAGAGUACCUGUUACCCCGGACGUUUUUUAACCAAAAANCACGGUUAAUUCUUGCCCCCCCCCCGGAANCGUGGGGGNGGGGUUUCCCGUUUUUUUUGGGGCAUAAAGCGAGCGCAGGGGGGCUUUUUUUAUUUUUUAUGGAAAAACCUUCCCCCCCCCCCCCAAAAAAAUUGCU
This 617-nucleotide ribosomal RNA is filed under the name Pediococcus pentosaceus. RNAcentral describes it as "partial 16S ribosomal RNA". It matches the Rfam family "Bacterial small subunit ribosomal RNA", at positions 50 to 637 of the family's 1533-position model. The record is from RNAcentral. Lineage: Bacteria; Bacillati; Bacillota; Bacilli; Lactobacillales; Lactobacillaceae.